Non-coding RNA from Pimephales promelas (fathead minnow), 970 nucleotides. The record is from RefSeq and is a predicted model, not a curated record. Lineage: Eukaryota; Metazoa; Chordata; Actinopteri; Cypriniformes; Leuciscidae.
UGCUGUGGAAACAAAGACACCUACAUCUUGGAUGCCCUUGAGAUCCACCUCUGGGGGCGAGUCUUCUCCCAGUUCUUUGUUGACAGGGGUCAAUAUGUGUGCCACUGCUGUAUCCUGAGAUUAAAAGGGAAGUGAAAUGCUCUGAAGCUUCAAAACAUUGAAGAGCUCAAUUGUCCAUUCCAGGACAAGCGGUUUUCCCAGAGGAACUAGUUUCCGUGUAUUACACAUGCCACUGAUCCAAGGACAGCCGCUGACUUCCUCAGAAUCAGAAUUAAUUACCCGCUUUGCACUGGAAGCGGGGUUGAGAGUGGAGAUCUUUAGAAGUCUGGUCUUUCUUCCCAAACUGCCCCAUGGACUUGCAGAUGGUUUCGCUGGACCUCGGCCGUGUUUGCAGGGAGGCGCUGAUGAGAGUCGCUGACUCUGAAGAGGACACUUCAAGUGUGAUUAGCAGUGGAGGAACGCGGAGAGCUGCUAAUUAACCCUGCAUUGUGCUCGGCCGACAAAGAGACAAAAGAACAAAGUCGAAUUUGAAUGCGGCAGAUUAUCACGAUAACAAAAGACAAAGUAGUGGAUCGUGCUCUUGACGGGGAAUUUUCACACUGAUCGUCACAACAUGGGAUUGGAUCAAAGACCGAUGGAGUUACAUUAGCGGGACAAUGGGGCCUUGUUAUUCGACAACAAGAGGCAUCCAUCUGCAUGUCACAAGGGCCCAUUUUAGUCAACUAUCUGCUUCCUCUGCUGUUGAAUACAGUGUGGUAGAUUUGAAAUGUACAACGAUGAAGCCCAGGGGCUGAUGGAUGUUUCUUAGCCGUUGACGGAUCUCGUGCGUUACCACAGAGGUUUCAGUUGGUUUUGCUUCAGGACCCAGAUGAAGUGGCGACCCAGUGUAACAAAAAGUUAUAAAUAUCACUACAAACAGUAUGCUAAAUUAUUAAUAUAACUUCAGUCUUUUUUUCUGUCACAAAAGAUA